Molecule: unclassified non-coding RNA, 2349 nt
Filed under: Apis mellifera (honey bee)
Lineage: Eukaryota; Metazoa; Arthropoda; Insecta; Hymenoptera; Apidae
Source: RNAcentral
GUAUGUUGAUUAGAAUGAUCUAGUUCCGAGUUGUAGGGGUGGGAGGGAGUUACUAUGUUUCAGCUAAGCUUGGAUAGAGAAAAAAUCUAUUUAAUCGACGAGGUAUAUAAAGAUGUACUGAAAAUAUAUUUUGGUAACUCCUAAUUGGAUAAAUAUGAAUAAUUUUUUAAUCUUAAUAAAUAUCACAAUCUAUAUAUCUAUUUAUAUAACUGCAUUUUUGACAAGAAAUAUUGAUAAAAAAAAAAGGUAAAAAAAUCCGAUUUUUAAAAUAGAAAAGGUAUGUUUUGGUUGAAGGUAACAAUUUAAUAUGAUCAAUGAUUUGUAAUAAAUAGUUGAAAAAAACGAGAAAUAGGUGAAAUUAUUAUACUGUAAGCUGCAGGUUUGGUAUUAUAUUUAUCUUUCAUCAUAAUGGAUGCUAUAUUAUCGAUGACAUUUUAUAAUAAUGGAGAUAUAUCCUAUAUUAUAUCUGCAAUACCAGGAAAUAAUUCUACAAUUUCAACUAUUUGAACUAUUCACAAUUAUAAUAGAUAAACAUGAUGCAAUAUAUUUCAUUCGGCUGAAGAAGAAAUUCAAUUGACAAUGGAAACAGAUUUCUGCUAAAAGAAGAGUAAAACUGAUUGUAAUAUAUAUCAUUGUUUACUAUUUUACGUUUAACUAUUUUAGAUCUACAAAAAUUGACAUUUCAUUUUAAUAAAUGUAUUUUAAAAUUACAUUUGACCUUGAUAUUUUUAUAAUUUAUCAAGACAUAGGUAUAGGACAUAGGUCUAGGAAAAAGGAGACAAAGGAAUAAAGCUGCCGAUGGUUUUAUUUUUUCACAAUGAGAAAAAGGCGGAUUAGUAUAUAUUUCAAAUAAUUUAAAUAUAAAAUUAGUUAUAGCAUGUUAAUAAGCAUGGUAGUGUUAUAUUCAUAGAAAUGCUCAAAUUAUCGUUAUUUAAAUAUACCUGUUUUGGCUCUUUUGGAUGUUUGUGAUUUUUGCUUCAGGAAAUCGAAGAUAAUUUUAUUCUUAUAUGAAUUUUAUGAUAAAUUUUCUAUUCUAUGGAGAAAAAUGCUAUGAAAUACACCUGAAUAUGUAUGUAUUAUAUAAAUAUUAUUUUUAUUAUAUUUAGAAAACGAUGCCGGAUAUAUGAACAGUAUAAAUAUAAAGCUUAUAUUCAAGAUAACAACGGGGUGAAUAACUAUCGAUAUUUGAUAUAUUUAUGAAGAUAAGUUUUCAAUUAUAUUUAAAUAUGAUAAUAUAUAAGUUGAAAUAAAUUUUUAUUGAAAUUUUUUAUUUAAAAGAAAAAGAUGAAGGAUUAAAUUACUAACUUUAUAGUAUCUAGAUACAUUUCAGAAAAUUUGUGAUAUAGAAAAAAAUUUUCUAAAUGGAAGAGAGGUCAUUGUUAUAUCAUCUUAGCCGAGAUUUGAUUAAGACUUGGCUGAAUCUAAAUUUAUUUUAGAUAAUAAAAAAAGUAUGUGUCAGGUAAAUUAAAUGUUCAAAAAACUUACAUAUUUUAAAAAUGUAUUUAAAAUAUGUUGUUAAAAAUAACUUCGGUUAUAUCAAGAUUAUAGUUUAUCUAAAUUGAUGAACAUGAGUUUUCAUUUUCGAUUUUACUUUUUGAAGAAAAUAUCGAAUAUUAAAUCGAAUAUAUCUAUUCAAGAAAAAUUUAAAUCAAGAUAAAUUGUUACAACUUGAAAUGCUGAUUACGUUCAAUUAAAUGGAUCAUUGGAUAAUUGAAAUAUAUUCGACAAGAUUUUUAAAUUAAUAACUUUAUAAAUCUCUCCUAAUUAGAAAAGAAAUAUAAAUGUUCUUUUUUUUUUUAUUGAGAAAUGAUUUUAAAUCUAAUAAAUAAUGAUCUGAAAUUAAUUCGAGUAAAAUCUGUCGUACAUACAACAAUUGAAGAUUUUGAAUGUAAAAAAAAUUGACGCAAAAUUAAAAUAGGAUUUAAUUUUUCAUUAAAAAAUUUAAUGAUGAGUGUACAUUUUCAGAACAUAUUUGAAAAUAUUUAAAAAAAUAUAUAUAUAUAAAAUUGAAGUAAUUUUCUUUGUAAUAAAAAAUAAUAUAAAGUGAAUAGAAUAAUAGAAAUACAAAUAGUAAUCUAUAACAUCUGACAUAGUUCGAAUUAUUAAAAAUGAUUAUAUUCUUCAAAAAACAUAACCUUAAGUUAGUAUUAAAUCAAUAUUAAAAUACAAGUUUCAAUUUGAAUAUAAUUAAAAAACUAUACUAUCAUAAAAACAUAGAAGAAAAACAAAGUUGAUUAUAAUGUAUUGUGAAAGUAAUAUAUAACAAUAAUAAUUUAAGAUAUGAAAAUUUAUAUUGAUAUUCGAAAAAUUUAAAUUGCAUUCACUACAUAUUAUUUCGUAAAAUUGUAG